GAUGAAGAACGUAGCGAAAUGCGAUACGUAAUGUGAAUUGCAGAUUUCAGUGAAUCAUCGAAUCUUUGAACGCACAUUGCGCCCGCCAGUAUUCUGGCGGGCAUGCCUGUUCGAGCGUCAUUUCAACCAUCAAGCACAGCUUGGUGUUGGGACUCGCGUUAAUUCGCGUUCCCCAAAUUGAUUGGCGGUCACGUCGAGCUUCCAUAGCGUAGUAGUAAAACCCUCGUUACUGGUAAUCGUCGCGGCCACGCCGUUAAACCCCAACUUCUGAAUGUUGACCUCGGAUCAGGUAGGAAUACCCGCUGAACUUAAGCAUAUCAAUAAGCGGAGGA
This 332-nucleotide unclassified non-coding RNA is filed under the name soil metagenome. RNAcentral's name for it is "partial contains 5.8S ribosomal RNA, internal transcribed spacer 2, and large subunit ribosomal RNA". The stretch from base 1 to 120 matches the Rfam family "5.8S ribosomal RNA", at positions 35 to 154 of the family's 154-position model. The record is from RNAcentral.